RNAcentral lists this ribosomal RNA (436 nucleotides) under Pantoea sp. Its description in RNAcentral is "bacterial SSU rRNA". It matches the Rfam family "Bacterial small subunit ribosomal RNA", at positions 54 to 480 of the family's 1533-position model. Lineage: Bacteria; Pseudomonadati; Pseudomonadota; Gammaproteobacteria; Enterobacterales; Erwiniaceae. The record is from RNAcentral.
CAUGCAGUCGGACGGUAGCACAGAGGAGCUUGCUCCUCGGGUGACGAGUGGCGGACGGGUGAGUAAUGUCUGGGGAUCUGCCCGAUAGAGGGGGAUAACCACUGGAAACGGUGGCUAAUACCGCAUAACGUCGCAAGACCAAAGAGGGGGACCUUCGGGCCUCUCACUAUCGGAUGAACCCAGAUGGGAUUAGCUAGUAGGCGGGGUAACGGCCCACCUAGGCGACGAUCCCUAGCUGGUCUGAGAGGAUGACCAGCCACACUGGAACUGAGACACGGUCCAGACUCCUACGGGAGGCAGCAGUGGGGAAUAUUGCACAAUGGGCGCAAGCCUGAUGCAGCCAUGCCGCGUGUAUGAAGAAGGCCUUCGGGUUGUAAAGUACUUUCAGCGGGGAGGAAGGCGAUGUGGUUAAUAACCUUGUUGAUUGACGUUACCC